Molecule: ribosomal RNA, 253 nt
Filed under: uncultured bacterium
Lineage: Bacteria
Description: partial 16S ribosomal RNA
Rfam family: Bacterial small subunit ribosomal RNA
Source: RNAcentral
UACGUAGGGUGCAAGCGUUAAUCGGAAUUACUGGGCGAAAAGCGUGCGCAGGCGGUUGUGUAAGACAGAUGUGAAAUCCCCGGGCUCAACCUGGGAACUGCAUUUGUGACUGCACAGCUGGAGUGCGGCAGAGGGGGAUGGAAUUCCGCGUGUAGCAGUGAAAUGCGUAGAUAUGCGGAGGAACACCGAUGGCGAAGGCAAUCCCCUGGGCCUGCACUGACGCUCAUGCACGAAAGCGUGGGGAGCAAACAGG